GUGCUCUGCCCAAUCACAGCAGCCCACGGAGGAGCGGACGGGACCUUUAGCGACCAGCCACGUCAGGAAGCUCGUGAGGUCCGGCUCAAGCGAUCGUGGGGAAGAGUGCAAGCAGAUCCAUGAAAAAUUGAGUGGAAGGAAAAGAAUGAAGUAUUCAGACUCACUGUGUGGGACUCCAGCUCAGAGAUCUUCUCUGGUUGACCCGACCCAAAG
Molecule: long non-coding RNA, 213 nt
Organism: Xiphophorus maculatus (southern platyfish)
Lineage: Eukaryota; Metazoa; Chordata; Actinopteri; Cyprinodontiformes; Poeciliidae
Exons: 3
Source: RefSeq, a predicted model, not a curated record